RNAcentral lists this transfer RNA (76 nucleotides) under Elizabethkingia sp. HvH-WGS333. RNAcentral describes it as "tRNA-Asp". It matches the Rfam family "tRNA". Rfam says of the family: Transfer RNA (tRNA) molecules are approximately 80 nucleotides in length. Their secondary structure includes four short double-helical elements and three loops (D, anti-codon, and T loops). Further hydrogen bonds mediate the characteristic L-shaped molecular structure. tRNAs have two regions of fundamental functional importance: the anti-codon, which is responsible for specific mRNA codon recognition, and the 3' end, to which the tRNAs corresponding amino acid is attached (by aminoacyl-tRNA synthetases). tRNAs cope with the degeneracy of the genetic code in two manners: having more than one tRNA (with a specific anti-codon) for a particular amino acid; and 'wobble' base-pairing, i.e. permitting non-standard base-pairing at the 3rd anti-codon position. Lineage: Bacteria; Pseudomonadati; Bacteroidota; Flavobacteriia; Flavobacteriales; Weeksellaceae. The record is from RNAcentral.
AUCCGGUAGUUCAGCUGGUUAGAAUGCCGCCCUGUCACGGCGGAGGUCGCGGGUUCGAGUCCCGUCCGGAUCGCAA